UAUGUUUUCUCCUCCUUUAGCUCAGCCUAACCAUGACCCAAACACUCAUCAUUGCUUAUGUGGAGCAGAUGAGAAGAAUUCAAACCAAACAAACCCAAGCCAUGUGCUGUUUGUAAUCAGUUUGAACAUGAAGUUAAGGACUGUGAAGGUUUGCCAAGAGAAAAGAAGGGAAAGCACGAUGAACUUGCAGAUAGUCUUCCUUGUGCAGAAGGAGAGUUUAUCUUCCUUCGUCUUAGUGUUCUUCGUGAGGUAUGUAGCAAUAAUCACUAGAAUCAGCCCUCUAAAGCAGAGUGCCGUUUCAUAGCUUUAAUGGCAGCAUUCCUUUUUGG
This is a long non-coding RNA of Diceros bicornis minor, 329 nucleotides long. RefSeq lists it as uncharacterized. The record is from RefSeq and is a predicted model, not a curated record. The transcript is spliced from 3 exons. Lineage: Eukaryota; Metazoa; Chordata; Mammalia; Perissodactyla; Rhinocerotidae.